Molecule: ribosomal RNA, 297 nt
Filed under: uncultured Pseudomonadota bacterium
Lineage: Bacteria; Pseudomonadati; Pseudomonadota
Description: uncultured proteobacterium partial 16S ribosomal RNA
Rfam family: Bacterial small subunit ribosomal RNA
Source: RNAcentral
AACGAACGCUGGCGGCAGGCUUAACACAUGCAAGUCGAACGGGCAUAGCAAUAUGUCAGUGGCAGACGGGUGAGUAACGCGUGGGAAUCUACCGUACCCUACGGAAUAACGCAUGGAAACGUGUGCUAAUACCGUAUACGCCCUUAGGGGGAAAGAUUUAUCGGGGUAUGAUGAGCCCGCGUUGGAUUAGCUAGUUGGUGGGGUAAAGGCCUACCAAGGCGACGAUCCAUAGCUGGUCUGAGAGGAUGAUCAGCCACAUUGGGACUGAGACACGGCCCAAACUCCUACGGGAGGCAG